CUACCUCAUAGUAUAGUACUUUGGCAUCAAGGAACUAUUAAAGUCACAACGGCAAAAGAUGAGCAUGCGUCCCAUUAGCUAGUUGGUAAGGUAACGGCUUACCAAGGCUACGAUGGGUAGGGGUUCUGAGAGGGAGAUCCCCCCACACUGGUACUGAGACACGGACCAGACUCCUACGGGAGGCAGCAGUGAGGAAUAUUGGACAAUGGGCGAAAGCCUGAUCCAGCCAUGCCGCGUGCAGGAUGACGGUCCUAUGGAUUGUAAACUGCUUUUGUACAGGAAGAAACCCUUUCACGUGUGGAAGAUUGACGGUACUGUAAGAAUAAGGAUCGGCUAACUCCGUG
This 344-nucleotide ribosomal RNA is filed under the name uncultured bacterium. RNAcentral's name for it is "bacterial SSU rRNA". It matches the Rfam family "Bacterial small subunit ribosomal RNA", at positions 166 to 507 of the family's 1533-position model. The record is from RNAcentral.